CUCCCAAAGUGCUGGGAUUACAGGUGUGAGUCAUGGCACCUGGCCAGUAGUCGUGUUUCAUAAGGUCACUGUGAUCACUGAAUUUUCUCACAGGAGAAAUACAGGGUUAGAAUCCUGAGAGCCUCUGUCCCAAUAUUUUUGUAAACUGAUCAAUACGUAGCCUUGUCUUAUGUGUGGUUCUGUUUAAAGACACUUAUUUAAUACAUGUUGUUCAUUCAUUAACUCUUGUUUUACAGGUAGUUCUGUUUAAAGACAUCUUGGUUAAUAUAUGUUGUUCAUUCAUGAACUCCUGGCCAACAGCACUCUCACACCCAAAUGAAGCUUAUCUCACACACAUAUUUUCUCUGUAAGGCACAUUGCAACUUUCUUGUACUUGAAACACUAGAUCGCCCUUCAAGCACCAUGCUUGGGGGCCAUUUCACAGGCAAAAUCACCACCCAAACGCACAAAAUAGGAACAAUGUGGCACUAAAUAGAUUUUGUAAAGAACAUUUGUUUGCAGUGGGAGAGUUGAAACAAGAAGGCAGCGUUGUCACCUUGUUUCAACUCAGCUGGGAAUGUGCCAGGUGGGCAACUCAAAUUUUUGCCACUCUUGAGCAUAUGUUUGUCCAUGAAUGACCAGGAAAGUGACCCAAGUUUUGUUUUUGAGAUAGGAUCCUGCUGUGUUGCCCAGACUGGAGUGCUGCAGUGAGAGCAUGGCUCAAGAUAAAACUUGAAUGGGUACUACAAUCUGGUUUUGAAGUUGCCCAAAGAAACUUGAAUGGCUUCCUCUUUCAUUCCCACAAGGCUCUGAAAACACUGCUGCUGAUCCGCUGUCUUCACUCCUAUCUCACCCUGGCAUAACUGCACUCUACUCAAACUCUAUCUGGAAGGAGCAGAGCUCAGGGGUUCUGACCCCACAGAAUGGGCUCCAGGCACUAAGAGCUGAACAACACAGAACACCUGUUCCAUGUCGAGUUGGUUAUCAUUUUAUACUUUUCUAAAAACCUCAAGGAAGAUCUUCAACAUAAGCCCUGGCAUAAGACAUUUUCUAUGUAUUCAAAAUAAGAAAAGGAAAUGGUGAAUAUAUUGACAAGUAGCAAUUUGAAUUAUAAUGAC
RNAcentral lists this long non-coding RNA (1097 nucleotides) under Homo sapiens (human). RNAcentral describes it as "HSALNT0214759". Lineage: Eukaryota; Metazoa; Chordata; Mammalia; Primates; Hominidae. The record is from RNAcentral.